RNAcentral lists this long non-coding RNA (323 nucleotides) under Elaeis guineensis (African oil palm). Its description in RNAcentral is "long non-coding RNA (EGUI_LNC073642)". The record is from RNAcentral. Lineage: Eukaryota; Viridiplantae; Streptophyta; Magnoliopsida; Arecales; Arecaceae.
GCAUGUAGGUGAGAUAUAGAAGUAUAUCAUCAUUGAAUGUGACCAACUACGGAGCACUCUACCAUCAAGGGUAGCUCACGAAGGGUAUGGGUAUAAGUGUCCCUCCGACUUGAGAUCACCACGAUGACUUGCAAGUAACUCACUGUACUUUAGUGUCAGACUAACUAAAUUUUUAAUUCAGUGAUGAAAGAUUUUUGGGUGAAGUCAAAUACUUGUCAAGUCAGUGCGUGAGUCAAGAUGAGAUUGAUCCCUCCGAAUUAGUAGGACAUAUGCAUUAGUGUAUUUCAAUUUAGCAAACUCUGGACCUGGGUAAUCCAUGUGAU